ACGCGUGAGAAUCUGCCAACAGGACGGGGACAACAGGGGGAAACCGCUGCUAAGACCCGAUAAACCGAAAGGGGAAAAAGAAAUUGCCAGUUGAUGAGCUCGCGUCGGAUUAGCUAGUUGGUAGUGUAAGGGACUACCAAGGCGACGAUCCGUAGCCGGUCUGAGAGGACGAUCGGCCACACUGGGACUGAGACACGGCCCAGACUCCUACGGGAGGCAGCAGUGGGGAAUUUUCCGCAAUGGGCGAAAGCCUGACGGAGCAAGACCGCGUGAGGGAGGAAGGCUCUUGGGUUGUAAACCUCUUUUCUCAAGGAAGAAGAAAUGACGGUACUUGAGGAAUCAGCAUCGGCUAACUCCGUGCCAGCAGCCGCGGUAAUACGGAGGAUGCAAGCGUUAUCCGGAAUGAUUGGGCGUAAAGCGUCCGCAGGUGGCAGUUCAAGUCUGCCGUUAAAGACUCCAGCUUAACUGGAGGAAGGCGGUGGAAACUGAACAGCUAGAGUGCGGUAGGGGCAGAGGGAAUUCCCGGUGUAGCGGUGAAAUGCGUAGAGAUCGGGAAGAACACCAGUGGCGAAAGCGCUCUGCUGGACCGCAACU
RNAcentral lists this ribosomal RNA (594 nucleotides) under Phormidium sp. CCALA 155. RNAcentral's name for it is "bacterial SSU rRNA". It matches the Rfam family "Bacterial small subunit ribosomal RNA", at positions 113 to 741 of the family's 1533-position model. The record is from RNAcentral. Lineage: Bacteria; Bacillati; Cyanobacteriota; Cyanophyceae; Oscillatoriales; Oscillatoriaceae.